RNAcentral lists this ribosomal RNA (692 nucleotides) under Bacillus zhangzhouensis. RNAcentral describes it as "bacterial SSU rRNA". It matches the Rfam family "Bacterial small subunit ribosomal RNA", at positions 79 to 756 of the family's 1533-position model. Lineage: Bacteria; Bacillati; Bacillota; Bacilli; Caryophanales; Bacillaceae. The record is from RNAcentral.
CUUGCUCCCGGAUGUUAGCGGCGGACGGGUGAGUAACACGUGGGUAACCUGCCUGUAAGACUGGGAUAACUCCGGGAAACCGGAGCUAAUACCGGAUAGUUCCUUGAACCGCAUGGUUCAAGGAUGAAAGACGGUUUCGGCUGUCACUUACAGAUGGACCCGCGGCGCAUUAGCUAGUUGGUGGGGUAAUGGCUCACCAAGGCGACGAUGCGUAGCCGACCUGAGAGGGUGAUCGGCCACACUGGGACUGAGACACGGCCCAGACUCCUACGGGAGGCAGCAGUAGGGAAUCUUCCGCAAUGGACGAAAGUCUGACGGAGCAACGCCGCGUGAGUGAUGAAGGUUUUCGGAUCGUAAAGCUCUGUUGUUAGGGAAGAACAAGUGCGAGAGUAACUGCUCGCACCUUGACGGUACCUAACCAGAAAGCCACGGCUAACUACGUGCCAGCAGCCGCGGUAAUACGUAGGUGGCAAGCGUUGUCCGGAAUUAUUGGGCGUAAAGGGCUCGCAGGCGGUUUCUUAAGUCUGAUGUGAAAGCCCCCGGCUCAACCGGGGAGGGUCAUUGGAAACUGGGAAACUUGAGUGCAGAAGAGGAGAGUGGAAUUCCACGUGUAGCGGUGAAAUGCGUAGAGAUGUGGAGGAACACCAGUGGCGAAGGCGACUCUCUGGUCUGUAACUGACGCUGAGGAGCGA